CUAAUACAUGCAAGUCGAGCGAAUCGACGGGAGCUUGCUCCCUGAGAUUAGCGGCGGACGGGUGAGUAACACGUGGGCAACCUGCCUAUAAGACUGGGAUAACUUCGGGAAACCGGAGCUAAUACCGGAUACGUUCUUUUCUCGCAUGAGAGAAGAUGGAAAGACGGUUUACGCUGUCACUUAUAGAUGGGCCCGCGGCGCAUUAGCUAGUUGGUGAGGUAAUGGCUCACCAAGGCGACGAUGCGUAGCCGACCUGAGAGGGUGAUCGGCCACACUGGGACUGAGACACGGCCCAGACUCCUACGGGAGGCAGCAGUAGGGAAUCUUCCGCAAUGGACGAAAGUCUGACGGAGCAACGCCGCGUGAACGAAGAAGGCCUUCGGGUCGUAAAGUUCUGUUGUUAGGGAAGAACAAGUACCAGAGUAACUGCUGGUACCUUGACGGUACCUAACCAGAAAGCCACGGCUAACUACGUGCCAGCAGCCGCGGUAAUACGUAGGUGGCAAGCGUUGUCCGGAAUUAUUGGGCGUAAAGCGCGCGCAGGUGGUUCCUUAAGUCUGAUGUGAAAGCCCACGGCUCAACCGUGGAGGGUCAUUGGAAACUGGGGAACUUGAGUGCAGAAGAGGAAAGUGGAAUUCCAAGUGUAGCGGUGAAUUGCGUAGAGAUUUGGAGGAACACCAGUGGCGAAGGCGACUUUCUGGUCUGUAACUGACACUGAGGCGCGA
RNAcentral lists this ribosomal RNA (725 nucleotides) under Peribacillus simplex. RNAcentral describes it as "bacterial SSU rRNA". It matches the Rfam family "Bacterial small subunit ribosomal RNA", at positions 48 to 756 of the family's 1533-position model. The record is from RNAcentral. Lineage: Bacteria; Bacillati; Bacillota; Bacilli; Caryophanales; Bacillaceae.